AGCCGUGUGGUGAGCACAAAGUGAACUAUUCUUUAGCCUUUUACUAAAGAAUACUGUGUGCUCUCCACUUCAAACGGCAUACACCUAUUUUUGGAGGAUUUACUUCCUCUGAAGUUU
This is a non-coding RNA of Arabidopsis lyrata subsp. lyrata, 117 nucleotides long. The record is from Rfam. Lineage: Eukaryota; Viridiplantae; Streptophyta; Magnoliopsida; Brassicales; Brassicaceae.